UACAGAGGGUGCGAGCGUUAAUCGGAAUUACUGGGCGUAAAGCGCGCGUAGACGGUUUUGUAAGACAGAUGUGAAAUCCCCGGGCUCAACCUGGGAACUGCAUUUGUGACUGCAUCGCUGGAGUGCGGCAGAGGGGGAUGGAAUUCCGCGUGUAGCAGUGAAAUGCGUAGAUAUGCGGAGGAACACCGAUGGCGAAGGCAAUCCCCUGGGCCUGCACUGACGCUCAUGCACGAAAGCGUGGGGAGCAAACAGG
This 253-nucleotide ribosomal RNA is filed under the name uncultured bacterium. Its description in RNAcentral is "partial 16S ribosomal RNA". It matches the Rfam family "Bacterial small subunit ribosomal RNA", at positions 524 to 776 of the family's 1533-position model. The record is from RNAcentral.